GGGCAUGUAGCUCAGAGGAUAGAGCGUCAGAUUCCGAUUCUGAUAGAGGAAGGUUCAAAUCCUUUCAUGCCUA
RNAcentral lists this transfer RNA (73 nucleotides) under Hildenbrandia rubra. RNAcentral describes it as "tRNA-Arg". It matches the Rfam family "tRNA". Rfam says of the family: Transfer RNA (tRNA) molecules are approximately 80 nucleotides in length. Their secondary structure includes four short double-helical elements and three loops (D, anti-codon, and T loops). The record is from RNAcentral. Lineage: Eukaryota; Rhodophyta; Florideophyceae; Hildenbrandiales; Hildenbrandiaceae.